GCCUCGGUAGUCUAGUCCGGUCAAGGAUCGCGGCCUCUCGAGCCGUGGACGCGGGUUCAAAUCCCGCCCGAGGCACCA
RNAcentral lists this transfer RNA (78 nucleotides) under Candidatus Bathyarchaeota archaeon. RNAcentral describes it as "tRNA-Glu". It matches the Rfam family "tRNA". From Rfam's summary of the family: Transfer RNA (tRNA) molecules are approximately 80 nucleotides in length. Their secondary structure includes four short double-helical elements and three loops (D, anti-codon, and T loops). The record is from RNAcentral. Lineage: Archaea; Thermoproteati; Candidatus Bathyarchaeota. RNAcentral also lists the same sequence under 1 other name.